This 775-nucleotide ribosomal RNA is filed under the name uncultured Neocallimastigales. RNAcentral describes it as "partial large subunit ribosomal RNA". It matches the Rfam family "Eukaryotic large subunit ribosomal RNA", at positions 23 to 639 of the family's 3401-position model. Lineage: Eukaryota; Fungi; Neocallimastigomycota; Neocallimastigomycetes; Neocallimastigales. The record is from RNAcentral.
AGAGAGAGACAUGCGCGCAUAUCAAUAAGCGGAGGAAAAGAAACUAACUAGGAUUCCCUCAGUAACGGCGAGUGAAGCGGGAAGAGCUCAAAUUUGAAAUCUUCAAGGUUCUGACCUUGACGAAUUGUAGUUUAAAGAAGUGUUUUCUGUUGGAGUUUUGGUAAAAGUUCUUUGGAAUAGGACAUCAUAGAGGGUGAGAAUCCCGUAUUUGACCAUUAUUUCCAGCUUUGUGAUACACUUUCAAAGAGUCGGAUUGUUUGGGAAUGCAGUCCAAAAUGGGUGGUAAAUUUCAUCUAAAGCUAAAUAUUGGCGAGAGACCGAUAGCGAACGAGUACCGUGAGGGAAAGAUGAAAAGAACUUUGAAAAGAGAGUUAAACAGUACGUGAAAUUGUCAAAAGGGAAGCGUUUGACACCAGUGUUGUUUUCUCGAAAAUCAAUUAAAAAAGGCAGGAUUUUGUGUUGUAUUGACUUUAUCAGCUUUCUGCACUCUUUUCUUGUCUUUUUUAAUGCACUUUUCGUUUAACAAGUCAACAUCAAUUUCUUUUGUUGUAAAAGGGUCAUUGGAAGGUGGCUUUCUUUUCGGAGAAAGUGUUUAUAGCCUUUGGCCUCUGCAAUCGGAGAGAUUGAGGUCUGCAGCGUAGAUCCUUCGGGGUUAGAUACAUUUGUGCUAAGUUAUAGCCUUUCAUAGACAACUUGUUGACUAUGAUCAGUCAUGUAGCUUACUCGCUUAUGCUAUUUUACCUACGCUUAGGAUGUUGAUGUGAUACUGCGAGCA